RNAcentral lists this unclassified non-coding RNA (74 nucleotides) under Pseudomonas koreensis. The record is from RNAcentral. Lineage: Bacteria; Pseudomonadati; Pseudomonadota; Gammaproteobacteria; Pseudomonadales; Pseudomonadaceae.
AAAGAUCGCAGCCUUCGGCAGCUCCUACAGGGGGACGCAUUCCAAUGUGGGAGCUGCCGAAGGCUGCGACCUUU